CCAGUCGUGGCCUACUGGUUAGGGCUUCGGGCUUGUAACCGGAGGGUUGCAGGUUCGAUCCCUGACUAGUAGA
This 73-nucleotide transfer RNA is filed under the name Alosa alosa (allis shad). RNAcentral's name for it is "tRNA-OTHER". It matches the Rfam family "tRNA". Rfam says of the family: Transfer RNA (tRNA) molecules are approximately 80 nucleotides in length. Their secondary structure includes four short double-helical elements and three loops (D, anti-codon, and T loops). Lineage: Eukaryota; Metazoa; Chordata; Actinopteri; Clupeiformes; Clupeidae. The record is from RNAcentral.